UUUGCCCUUUUGCCUGUUUGUUACGACUCCGCCUCUUGCCUUUUCCCUUGACUCUAAUGACAGAGUUUUCCUGGUUUUGGAUUUGAUCCUGGCCUUUUCUGACAGUUAUUUGGACGUUUCUGUCCUGUUAAACACGGUAAACGCCUGUUUUUGGUAGAUCUGCCUCUCCCUGCACAAAACGACAUCUUGUUGAGAAAUUAAAGGAAGAGUGUGAAUCAAUGAGUGGAGAAACAUGACGAGUGCAGAAAAACAUCUUAUCAAGAAUGCUGAGAGGUUCCAGCUGACCUCAAUUUGGGAUCAAGAUGAUCGAGGAAAAGAUCCAAGUGGCUUCGAACGAAGGUUCAUUAUUGGAUCAUAGAUGCAGGAGCUUCGGUCACAAAGACCAGCAGGACCAGUGAGUCGGGUGAGAAGGUCAAUGCAGGACAUGACCAGACUGUCAGCAAGAACAAGAAUCCUCACCUGUAAACGAAUGCGCAGAGAGGACAUUAUAGCAGAGAUGCAGAGCUGAAACCCCUCUAUAUGAACAUCAGUGA
Long non-coding RNA from Pygocentrus nattereri (red-bellied piranha), 533 nucleotides. RefSeq lists it as uncharacterized. The transcript is spliced from 3 exons. NCBI's taxonomy places the organism in Eukaryota, Metazoa, Chordata, Actinopteri, Characiformes, Serrasalmidae. The record is from RefSeq and is a predicted model, not a curated record.